GAUGAACGCUGGCGGCGUGCCUAAUACAUGCAAGUCGAGCGAACAGACGAGGCGCUUGCUUGCCAGACGUUAGCGGCGGACGUGUGAAUGACAGGUGGAUAACUUGCCUAUAAGACUGGGAUCAGGGCGGGACACCGGAGAUCAUAACCGAAUAUAGAUUGAAACUAAUUGUUCAAUGAUGAUAAACGGAUUUGCUGACUCGUAUAACUGCAAGCUGGUCGCAUUAGCUAGUUGGUAAGGUAACGGCUUACCGAGGCAACAAGGCGAAGCAGACCUGAGAGGGUGACCGGCCAAACGGGAACUGGGAACCGGUCAAGACUCCACCGGGAGGCAGAGGUGGGGAAUCUUGGGCAAUGGGGGAAAGCCUGACGGAGCAACGCCGCGUGAGUGAUGAAGGUUUUCGGAUCGUAAAACCCUGUUAUUGGGGAGGAAGGAAUGUAGAGUGAACUGUGCACGUCUUGACGGUACCUAAUCAGAAAGCCACGGCUAACUACGUG
RNAcentral lists this ribosomal RNA (497 nucleotides) under uncultured bacterium. RNAcentral describes it as "partial 16S ribosomal RNA". It matches the Rfam family "Bacterial small subunit ribosomal RNA", at positions 28 to 507 of the family's 1533-position model. The record is from RNAcentral.